This 27-nucleotide non-coding RNA is filed under the name Cricetulus griseus (Chinese hamster). The record is from RNAcentral. Lineage: Eukaryota; Metazoa; Chordata; Mammalia; Rodentia; Cricetidae.
AUCUUUGUGGGCCUUAUAUACUCUAAA